RNAcentral lists this long non-coding RNA (906 nucleotides) under Homo sapiens (human). RNAcentral describes it as "HSALNT0194376". Lineage: Eukaryota; Metazoa; Chordata; Mammalia; Primates; Hominidae. The record is from RNAcentral.
UUGUCAUUUAUAGCAUUGUAGCAACAUCAGGAGGGCAACUGAUUUUAAAAAAAGAGAGAGAGAGAAAGAGAGAGAAAAUUAGAGAAUAUUAGAACUGAAAGAGAACCUGGGUAUCAUCUAAUUAGCCCAACGGUGACAAAUCAAUUUCACAUGGAGAGCCUACUUAAAUGGAGAGCCAAGGAUUCCUGGGAGUGGUGUAUUGAGAACGAUUCUGAAGAAUUCUGGAGAAAGAAGACCAGGAAAAAGCAAGAGGGAAAUGGGAGCAUGAGUGUCACCUAUCUUGUUAGAAGAAAUUCUAACCUGAUUUGGUCAUUUUAUAAAUAAAAUGGUUGGAAACUGGAAUAAAAUCUGUGGCAGACAGUGUUGGCUGUCUGGUCCAAAAAGCCCUUCUCUUACCACCAUCUUCCCUAGAAGAUAUUGUCUUCAUCUAGAGAAUCCGCAAGAGAUGAAUAGUCCCUUUACCAACACCUAUUGCAGUUAGGGUUGACAACAUGACGUAGCCCUGGUAAAUGAUCCAGGAAGGGAACUUGGCUAGGAGUUCCCACUCGAGUUAAAAUGAUAAAGUCUAGCCUUUUGACCCUUCCCCUGCUGGUGUGAUGAUGUAAACCCUGGAGCAGCAGUAGCCAUCUUGUGAUCAUGAGGCAACAGCCACAAGAUGAAAAGCAAAGAACUAAAGGUGGUCAAGUGAAAGCAUAAGAAGUGUUUGAGACUUAAAAGUCUUCAGUAAAUAACAAUGCCAGCCACUAUCCACCUUUAGGUAUUCUAUUGUGUGAGAAAAUAAUAUCGUAUUUGUUUCGGCCACUGUACUUAGACUAAAUGCUGUAAAAUAAUAUCGUAUUUGUUUCGGCCACUGUACUUAGACUAAAUGCUGUAAAAUAAUAUCGUAUUUGUUUUGGCCACUGUACU